UGGGGAAUUUUGGACAAUGGGGGCAACCCUGAUCCAGCCAUGCCGCGUGAGUGAAGAAGGCCUUCGGGUUGUAAAGCUCUUUCGGCCGGGAAGAAAUCGCGCCAGCUAAUACCUGGUGUGGAUGACGGUACCGGAAGAAGAAGCACCGGCUAACUACGUGCCAGCAGCCGCGGUAAUACGUAGGGUGCGAGCGUUAAUCGGAAUUACUGGGCGUAAAGCGUGCGCAGGCGGUUUUGUAAGACAGGUGUGAAAUCCCCGGGCUUAACCUGGGAACUGCGCUUGUGACUGCAAGACUUGAGUGCGGCAGAGGGGGGUGGAAUUCCACGUGUAGCAGUGAAAUGCGUAGAGAUGUGGAGGAACACCGAUGGCGAAGGCAGCCCCCUGGGUCGACACUGACGCUCAUGCACGAAAGCGUGGGGAGCAAACAGGAUUAGAAACCCUGGUAG
Molecule: ribosomal RNA, 446 nt
Filed under: uncultured bacterium
Lineage: Bacteria
Description: bacterial SSU rRNA
Rfam family: Bacterial small subunit ribosomal RNA
Source: RNAcentral